Camellia sinensis is the source of this 804-nucleotide non-coding RNA. The record is from RefSeq and is a predicted model, not a curated record. Lineage: Eukaryota; Viridiplantae; Streptophyta; Magnoliopsida; Ericales; Theaceae.
GCAUGCACUCUCUAUUGCUCGCAUUUGCACAAUGGCCCCUUUGAUCUCUAACAUGAAACCUUAAGCUUCUUGUCUAUGGAUGAUUUUCCUUGUAUUUGUUAGUUACAUGAUGAAGUGAUUUGAUGUCGGUUGGGUCAAUGUGGAUUUUAUUAAUGUCAUUCAAUUGGAGGGAUAUUGCUUUGCAACUGAACAUCUUUGUCUUUUUGAGUUCUGUCUACGUACAGCCUUUGUUGCUGAUGAGGAACCUCACCAUCAACUUGUCUAGCCUUGAUUUUGAGCCAAUUAGAGAGGUCCUGUCGUCAUAUGAUGUCAAUUCCAAAACUGUAGGAAUUGCUACAGGAAAUGUCGUGAAGAACCAAGAAAAAUGAGCUUUUGUGUUGAUAUGUUGAGCACUACUUAUAAGCUGCCAUGUACAUUAUAGAUGAGAAGUCUGACAGUGCUCUCGCAGCAUGCUCUGAAAUUCACUAGUUCAAGGAUAUAUAAAUGCCACUACAGCUGUAGAAUCGGAGAGUAUUGCCCGAUGAAAGGAUAACAUCCUCUGAUUUUCAUGCCUUAAAUGAUAUAAAUAUCCAAAGGCUGAAUGGCAAUGUUUUGUACCUGUUUUACUGAUCUGGGUCUGUUAGCAGAUUGCAAGUAUGUCUCGUAGUUUCUGUCAGUGGCAAUUUUAGCUUUCUUGAAAAUAUAAUGUCAGUCUCAGUUUUGUGUAGUAUAAUUUCCCAAGGCAAUGUAGCUUUAAGAAUUGGGGUUGUAAUAAUGAUGGUUAUGCUUUCUUGAUCUUUAAGAGCAUGGUUUUGUUGUUGUUGU